CCUACGGGAGGCAGCAGUGGGGAAUAUUGCGCAAUGGGCGAAAGCCUGACGCAGCGACGCCGCGUGAGGGAUGAAGGUCUUCGGAUCGUAAACCUCUGUCAGCAGGGAAGAACGGUCACUGUGCUAAUCAGCAGUGAAUUGACGGUACCUGCAAAGGAAGCACCGGCUAACUCCGUGCCAGCAGCCGCGGGAAUACGGAGGGUGCGAGCGUUAAUCGGAAUUACUGGGCGUAAAGCGCUCGUAGGUGGUAUGUCAAGUCAAGGGUGAAAUCUCCGCGCUCAACGUGGGAACUGCCUUUGAAACUGGCAAACUGGAGUGUGUGAGAGGAUAGUGGAAUUACAGGUGUAGGAGUGAAAUGCGUAGAUAUAUGGUAGAACAUCAGUGGCGAAGGCGACUAUCUGGCACAUAACUGACGCUGAGGAGCGAAAGCGUGGGUAGCAAACAGGAUUAGAUACCCGUGUAGUC
This 465-nucleotide ribosomal RNA is filed under the name uncultured bacterium. RNAcentral's name for it is "partial 16S ribosomal RNA". It matches the Rfam family "Bacterial small subunit ribosomal RNA", at positions 338 to 795 of the family's 1533-position model. The record is from RNAcentral.